UCCCCGCAGCCUUGUGAAGCUUCCCCUUGCAUAGACCGUUGCCUGUGGGUACAACAAGGUUGCAGAAAGCAACCCAGGGAAUGAAAAGGCGUGACUCCUGGAGUCUCAGGAGCUUUCACGUGCGAUGUUCCUUGGACAGAGUCCUGCUUCCCACGGCGGUGAUGGACUCAUUCUGUGUCCGUCACCUUAUCUUGAGGCAGGCAGAGUAGAAACAUGGCAGCCAGAAUCAGUCUGUCUGAAUCAGGGUAAGCUCUUCCUGUCAGACACUCUCUGCUGUCACAGCA
Molecule: non-coding RNA, 284 nt
Organism: Scophthalmus maximus (turbot)
Lineage: Eukaryota; Metazoa; Chordata; Actinopteri; Pleuronectiformes; Scophthalmidae
Source: Ensembl